UUAAAGGUGAAUUUUUAAGCCUGUUCUAGGCUGGGCUUUUCUUGCUCUCUGGAUUAAAGGUGAAUUUUUAAAGCAUCUUCUAGACUGGGCUUUUCCUGCUCUUUGGAUUAAAGGUGAAUUUUUAAAGCCUGUUCUAGGCUGGGAUUUCCUGCUCUCUGGAUUAAAGGUGAAUUUUUAAAGCUUUUUUGUAACCAAAGAGCAGCUGGGCGUGGGGGAGCUCCUGCACCGUGUGUAAAGUGUGAGUAGCUCAGGCUGCCUCAAUAAAGUGUGAGAAGA
Molecule: long non-coding RNA, 276 nt
Filed under: Zonotrichia albicollis (white-throated sparrow)
Lineage: Eukaryota; Metazoa; Chordata; Aves; Passeriformes; Passerellidae
Description: lncRNA (ENSZALG00000000634.1)
Source: RNAcentral